This 396-nucleotide ribosomal RNA is filed under the name uncultured bacterium. RNAcentral's name for it is "partial 16S ribosomal RNA". It matches the Rfam family "Bacterial small subunit ribosomal RNA", at positions 523 to 918 of the family's 1533-position model. The record is from RNAcentral.
AUACGGAGGAUGCGAGCGUUAUCCGGAUUUAUUGGGUUUAAAGGGUGCGCAGGCGGUCUGUCAAGUCAGCGGUCAAACUGCGGCGCUCAACGCCGUACCGCCGUUGAAACUGGCGGACUCGAGUGUGUGCGAGGAUGGCGGAAUGCGCGGUGUAGCGGGGAAAUGCAUAGAUAUCGCGCAGAACUCCGAUUGCGAAGGCAGCUGUCCAGCACGCCACUGACGCUCAUGCACGAAAGCGUGGGUAUCGAACAGGAUUAGAUACCCUGGUAGUCCACGCGGUAAACGAUGAUAACUAGUUAUUCGCCUUGACUGAAAGGUGAGUGACCGAGCGAAAGCGUUAAGUUAUCCACCUGGGGAGUACGACCGCAAGGUUGAAACUCAAAUGAAUUGGCGGGG